This 200-nucleotide ribosomal RNA is filed under the name Microbacterium sp. 70-38. Its description in RNAcentral is "partial 23S ribosomal RNA". It matches the Rfam family "Bacterial large subunit ribosomal RNA", at positions 2730 to 2925 of the family's 2925-position model. Lineage: Bacteria; Bacillati; Actinomycetota; Actinomycetes; Micrococcales; Microbacteriaceae. The record is from RNAcentral.
CAGGAGCACCGCUGAUUAGCUACGUUCGGGAUGGAUAACCGCUGAAAGCAUCUAAGCGGGAAGCCGGCCUCAAGAUGAGACUUCCAUGCCUUCGGGCGAGAGGCUCCCAGCUAGACUACUGGGUUGAUAGGCCAGAUGUGGAAGCGUGGUAACACGUGCAGCUGACUGGUACUAAUAAGCCGAUGACUUGAUAACACCCC